CAAGGAAUUUUCCGCAAUGGGCGAAAGCCUGACGGAGCAACGCCGCGUGCAGGAUGACGCAUUUCGGUGUGUAAACUGCUGUUCGGGGGGACGAAGCACUGACGGUACCCCCGGAGGAAGGCCCGGCUAACUACGUGCCAGCAGCCGCGGUAAUACGUAGGGGCCAAGCGUUGUCCGGAGUUACUGGGCGUAAAGCGUGCGCAGGCGGCUCGUUGCGCCCGACGUGAAAGCCCCCGGCUCAACCGGGGAGGGUCGUCGGGGACGGGCGAGCUUGAGGGUGUCAGGGGCUGGUGGAACUCCCGGUGUAGUGGUGAAAUGCGUAGAGAUGGGGAAGAACACCCGUGGCGAAGGCGGCCAGCUGGGACACACCUGACGCUGAGGCACGAAGGCGUGGGGAGCGAACGGG
RNAcentral lists this ribosomal RNA (406 nucleotides) under bacterium. Its description in RNAcentral is "partial 16S ribosomal RNA". It matches the Rfam family "Bacterial small subunit ribosomal RNA", at positions 355 to 776 of the family's 1533-position model. The record is from RNAcentral.